RNAcentral lists this transfer RNA (84 nucleotides) under Treponema sp. RNAcentral's name for it is "tRNA-Leu". It matches the Rfam family "tRNA". From Rfam's summary of the family: Transfer RNA (tRNA) molecules are approximately 80 nucleotides in length. The record is from RNAcentral. Lineage: Bacteria; Pseudomonadati; Spirochaetota; Spirochaetia; Treponematales; Treponemataceae.
GCCGAGAUGAUGGAAUGGUAGACAUCGGGGACUUAAAAUCCCCUGACCGCACUGGUCGUGCCGGUUCGAGUCCGGUUCUCGGCA